AACGAACGCUGGCGGCAUGCCUAACACAUGCAAGUCGAACGAGACCUUCGGGUCUUUUUGCGCACGGGUGCGUACCGCGUGGGAACCUGCCCUUAGGUUCGGAAUAACUCCCCGAGAGGGGUGCUAAUACCGGAUAAUGUCUUCGCACCAAAGAUGUAUUGCCUUUGGAUGGGCGCGCGUUGGUUUAGCGAGUUGGUAGUGUAAUAGCCUACCAUGGCGACGAUGCAUAGCUGGUCGGAGAGGAUGACCAGCUGCACUGGAGCUGAGACACGGCCUAGAAUGGUACGCAACGGUGCAGAGGGGAAUAUUAGACGAUGAGCCAAAGUCUAAUCCAGCAAUGCCGCGGGAGUGAUGAAGGCGUUAGUGUUGUAAAGCUGUUUUAGACGGGACGAUAAUGACAGUACCGGGAGAAGAAGCACCGGCUAACUACGUG
This 433-nucleotide ribosomal RNA is filed under the name uncultured bacterium. Its description in RNAcentral is "partial 16S ribosomal RNA". It matches the Rfam family "Bacterial small subunit ribosomal RNA", at positions 29 to 507 of the family's 1533-position model. The record is from RNAcentral.